Molecule: ribosomal RNA, 468 nt
Filed under: uncultured bacterium
Lineage: Bacteria
Description: partial 16S ribosomal RNA
Rfam family: Bacterial small subunit ribosomal RNA
Source: RNAcentral
GACGAACGCUGGCGGCGUGCUUAACACAUGCAAGUCGAACGGUACGACCCUGCUGUUGUGGUGUGCUCGAGUGGCGAACGGGUGAGUAACACGUGAGUAACCUGCCCUUGACUUUGGGCUAACUUCAGGAAACUGGGGCUAAUACCGGAUCGGAGCUCCUGCUGCAUUUUGUGGGUUGGAGAGUUUCGGCGGUUGGGGCUGGACUCGCGGGUUAUCAGCUUGUUGGUGGGGUAGUGGCAUACCAAGGCUUUGACGGGUAGCCGGCCUGAGAGGGUGACCGGCGACAUUGGGACUGCGAGAGGGAGCAGACGGGAACGGGAGGCAGCAGUGGGAAAUAUGGCACAAUGGGGGGACGUGUGAGGAAGCAACGCUGGGUGCGGGAUGACGGCUUUCGGGUGGUAAACCGCGUCCGCAGGUGACGAAGGGUGAGUGACGGUAAUGGGUAAGAAAGCAACGGCUAACUACGUG